AUGGCAUCUGGUGGACAUUCAGGUGCAGGUGUAAAUGCAAUCGAAAUAUCCGGCAUGAGCCCUCUGUCUGAGCUGGUGUGGUCUCCGGAUGAUGGUCUCAGCAUUAAAAUCGCAGCCUCCAGCCUAAGCACAAGAAAAGCCUCUCUUCGCUGGAAUGCGGAUACUUUGAACAUAGUGAUAUCUUCGCCUCAGCAGAGCGGCGGCAAGAGUGGUGAUAACGUAGAUGCCACCCUAAGGGAUGCAGGAGAAAUGCCGUCGCAACCUCGAACUCGAAGUGACAGUUCAGUGAGAGUAUCCGCGGCUAGUCCAAAUAGAACACGAAACCUUGAUGCGCAACAAUCUACUUCUAUACGACCACAGGAACAAGAUUCAAAAUGCUCUGGAGGGAUCAGUGAGAUGAGUGAGGGGGAAGAAUUGUCUGACAGCUGCUGUGCAGAUAAGUUGAAUAAAGAGGAAGCGGAUAUUUGCCCCACAAGAUGCUCCAACGAUGCUUCGCACAGUCUGGCUUCAAAAAAAGGCAGCCUGCAAAGUAUUUCGGAAAAACAGGUCUACUGUGCAACCGCUGUCCAUAAUGAGAGAUCUUGGGCAGAUAAUACCUGGCGAGCUCGAUUAGUAAAAGCAAUUAGUCAGAGGGACUAUGUUUUGCCAAACAAUGCAGUGAAUGCACAGUCACCUUCAUCCUUUGGGAGUUUCAGUAAUACAAAAAAGGUCCCAGGCAAGUUGGCAGGUUUUCUAGAUAACCAAAGCGAUAAGCACCAAGAUCUGGUUAUGCAGGACAACUGUAAUGGUAAUCAGGAAGAUCGGGUUAUGCAGGAAAACUGUAAUGGUGAUCACCAAGACCAGGUUAUGCAGGAGCACCAUAAGGAUGGGCCUAUUCUUGUCAAAUGUCAGUCAGCCUCCGGUGUUAACCCUGUUUCAAAAUGUGAUUCGGCAUCCGGUGUUAAUUCUGUUGCAAGAUAUGAGUCAACACCAGAUGUUAAUCCUGCAAGGCUUGAGAAGGGCAAAGAAAAGGUAAUGCACGACCAGAGCAAUUAUGUCAGCAACACAAAAGAGGGUGAUGAUAGCAAUGAGAGUAUGGAGAGUUGUCCUAGGAUGAAAGCUCCAAAGAGAGAGUAUGCUCAAUACUCAACAGCGGAGAUGUCUUCUCGGAAUAAAAGAUAUAGAAGGGAAUACAAUGAAAGUUAUUGCUCAGGAUUGUUGAACAGAAAUGGCAGCUCUUUCUUUAACUGGAUGUCUUCUCUGACUAAUGGAUCAACUGUGUUUGAUAAAACUACCAAUCAGAAGUUGUCAGAGACUACUGGACAUGAACUUGCAGGACAUUCUCUGCCACUAGAAAAUAACAGUAGCAAUCGUCUGCAGUCUGUUGGCUUCAAUUCUCUUUUUCAAUCUCUUUAUAGUCAUAACGUUAUGAUAACUUCAAGAGAUACCCCUCAUCAAUCAGAAAUCAAUCACACCGAGCGUGAAGCCGACAGGCUAUCACUGACUUUGAAUGGUAGCAAUUCUAUGCUUGACAAGGAAAUUAGCACAGGCAGAGAAACUCUUGAUGUGGCUGUUGAGACUUUAGCUGCUGACAACCUUCAAAUGGAGUCACCUGGUGGUAAAUGGAAUUUUAGAGAUCAAAGUGGAGUUUUCCCUUUGAGAGCCGGAAGAAACUUGAAGAUGCCUAACUCCAGUAAGUCAUGUUCUAAAACUCUUGAAGAAAAACAAAAUGAGUGCCAUGCGAGCCCUUUGAAUGCUGCAAUGGGAAAUAAAGGUGGAAUCACAGAAAGCUUGUGGGUAAGUCGGCUUUUACCAAAAACAUCAAUGAAAUUGACGGAUGCAACUCCAUGCAAUGUAUAUAGUGAUUUUUGUGCUGUCAAUCCAAAGGGUGCAGGUGAUAAGCUGUAUCCUUCAUCUCAACAGAAUGUUAAUGUGGAGAAGGAAUUCAACAGUUCACAAUACUUCACUAGCACAGGAAGUGACAAUGAGACAACAAGUAGCAAAUGCCCGGUGAUUCCUCCAGAGGAACAUAAGCAGUCUGAAACAAUGGCUUCCAUUCUUGCAAAGAGAUUGGAUGCGCUUAGACAUGCGAAGACCUCUGCAAUUAGGUUGGCUAUCUCCAGUGGAAUAACUAAAGACCAUAAUCACAGAAAGAGUCCUUUUUUUAUUAAUUACAGCAGCCAUGAUGGACUAGAGACAGGACAAGGAACUCAAAAAUCUUCGAGUGGUGGUGGAAGGCUAGUUUUGUGGUCUGGUGACAAAGGAAAGGAACAAUUAUAUCCUCUCAGUGAUGAGGAAUUAAGAGGAAACAUGUUGGCAAGAGGUGAACAUCAGCAAUGUGGAGGGAGCAUGACUGGAAAGGCUGUAGCUCCUCAUGAUAAUUUAGAAGCAAACACGUCUGCUGAAUAUGUUGAUAGAAGAGGAGUACAAAUAAAGGAAGUGGGUUCAAAUUCCAUGGAGAGUCUGCCACAUAACAAGCAAAUUGUACCUUAUAAUAUUAUUACAAGUGACAUUGAUCAAUCAAGUGUUGUUUUUGGAGCCUUGCAGAGGCUUCGUUUGUCUCGAUCAGACAUCAUAAGAUGGUUGUUGUCACCAAUAAUGCACACUACUUUGGAUGGCUUUUUCUUGCGUCUACGUUUCGGUAAAUGGGAGGAAGCAUUGGGUGGCACAGGAUACCAUGUCGCUCGGAUAAAUGGAGCACUGGAUAGAAAUCGCCUCUCUGUAACGAUCAGGAAUUCAACUUGCCAAGUAGAUUCUCGCUUUGUAUCCAACCAUGGCUUCCAUGAGGAUGAGCUCAAGGCGUGGUGGUCUGCUGCCAUGAAGGGUGGCUGGAAACUACCGUCGGACGAAGAACUUAGCAAGAAGCUAAGAGAAAGAGAGCUACUUCAUUUCGGAAAUGGAACAGGUCAGCCCGACAACACCUGA
This 2904-nucleotide ribosomal RNA is filed under the name Triticum aestivum (bread wheat). Its description in RNAcentral is "partial small subunit ribosomal RNA". Lineage: Eukaryota; Viridiplantae; Streptophyta; Magnoliopsida; Poales; Poaceae. The record is from RNAcentral.